RNAcentral lists this ribosomal RNA (582 nucleotides) under uncultured euryarchaeote. Its description in RNAcentral is "bacterial SSU rRNA". It matches the Rfam family "Archaeal small subunit ribosomal RNA", at positions 75 to 661 of the family's 1478-position model. The record is from RNAcentral. Lineage: Archaea; Methanobacteriati; Methanobacteriota.
UUCUUUGCGAACUGCUCAGUAACACGUCCUAUAACCUGCCCUAUGCUCUGGAAUAACCUCGGGAAACUGACAUUAAUACCGGAUAGAUCACAACGCCUGGAACGGUGUGUGGUUGAAAGAUUACGGCAUAGGAUGGGUCUGCGGCGUAUCAGGUUGUAGGGGGUGUAACGGACCUCCUAGCCAUCGACGCGUACGGGUGUUGGGAGACAUAGCCCGGAGAUGGAUUCUGAGACACGAAUCCAGACCCUACGGGGUGCAGCAGGCGCGAAAACUUCACACUGCAGGAAACUGUGAUGAGGGAACUCCAAGUGCGCGCACUUAGUGUGCGCUUUUGUUGACUAUUAAUCGGUCAAUGAAUAAGGGCUGGGAAAGACCGGUGCCAGCCGCCGCGGUAAUACCGGCAGCUCAAGUGGUCGUCGCUUUUAUUGGGCCUAAAACGUCCGUAGCCUGUUUGGUAAAUCUGUGGGUAAAUCAACCAGCUUAACUGGUUGAAUUCUGCAGAGACUGCCAUACUAGGGACCGGGAGAGGUGUGGGGUACUCUAGGGGUAGGGGUAAAAUCCUGUCAUCCUUAGAGGACCACC